UGGACCUGGAGGUAUUACGCUUAGUGAAAUAAAUAACUUUGUUAUCCCUUAUAUGUGAAAUUUAAAAAGUAAAAUGAAUGAAUAUAACAAAACAGAAGCAGAUUCAUAGAAAUAGGGAGCAAACUAGUGGUCACCAGUGGGGGGAGAGAGGGACAAGAUAGGGUUGGGGACUAAGUUACUAACCACCACGUAUAAAAUGAAGUACAAGGAUAUAUUGUACGGCACAGAGAAUAUAACCAAUGUAAUAAUUUUAAAUGGAGUAUUAUCUGUAAAAAUUCCAAAUCACUAUGUUGUAUACCCAAAACCAACAUAUACCUGAAGCCAAUUAACUAUAAUCAAUUUUUUACAAAUGAUUCCACUGUGCCAUUUUAACUUUCUGUUGUCUGGAGCCACCUACUCUGUUUAUGUUGUCUCUCGUGCUUUUAACUGCCUUUAUAAUUCCGGUGCUGCUGGUUGUGUGUUUAUAGAAUAACAGACCAACAAGCUCAGUAAUUGUGUUGGUUUCUUCUGUUGCUGUGUUUCCUCUGCUGCUGUGUCUGCUUCCCUGCCCUGGACCAUGAAGGACUUUCGGCAGUAGGGUUUUCUGUCGGGAAUUACUACAGGUACUUGCUGGUUAUGAACUCAGAGCCUCUGUGGGAUCUUUCCAGGAAGACUGGCUGUCAGGUCCAUCACCUACCUUCUGGGCCAUGGCUUCCUCCACUCUGCUGAGCCACCAGCGUGUUGUCAUCCACUUCUAGAAAUGUGUUGACACCGCUUCACCGGCCACCCCAUCUCCCUGCCAUUCUCUUUGCUGUUAGGUGUUUAUAUUCCUAUUCUGUCCUAUUAAUGGGGAUCUCAAAAAGAAGUGGGAACAACCACUUGUGCUCACAUGACUAUCUUGAACCUUUAAUAUGUUCGCAUGCUUUGCAAAUCUUCCAGGAUAUUUGUUGUUUGGAUUUCUUUUACAACUGCUUUUUGGGGAUGGAUGUACCGCUGUCGCCAAGAGUUGGGCAUGACUGAGUGACUGAACUGUACCACUGUUAAAUGGUGGGGCCUUUGUUCUGCUGAGUCCCUUGAUGUGUUUGCAUAUACAAAUUAUCAGAAGCUGAGGAGAGCUGAACAGCUUUUUUAUAAUAGAGUAAAACGACCUGGAGUUUCCACAGCAAUCUGAGAGAGAAGGGGUAACAACAGCGAUGGGAGGAGUUAGUCCCACACCCUGAUGAGACCCCUCCCCAAGAUUCCCAGUCUCUCGAAGGGAUUCUAGCUGUACAAAUGCUUGAUAUGACAGAACUUCCCAGGGAACUCAUGAAGGUGCUUAGUUCUGUGAUAAAGCAAAUGGGGACAAAACAAGUGAUGAAAUAAAAUUUAUAUUUUAUGGUAAGACAAAAUUUUAAAUAAAAUUUUUAUUUUCUCC
This is a long non-coding RNA of Cervus elaphus (red deer), 1393 nucleotides long. RefSeq lists it as uncharacterized. The record is from RefSeq and is a predicted model, not a curated record. The transcript is spliced from 2 exons. NCBI's taxonomy places the organism in Eukaryota, Metazoa, Chordata, Mammalia, Artiodactyla, Cervidae.